This 445-nucleotide ribosomal RNA is filed under the name uncultured bacterium. RNAcentral describes it as "bacterial SSU rRNA". It matches the Rfam family "Bacterial small subunit ribosomal RNA", at positions 330 to 792 of the family's 1533-position model. The record is from RNAcentral.
ACCAGACUCCUACGGGAGGCAGCAGUGGGGGAUAUUGCACAAUGGGGGAAACCCUGAUGCAGCGACGCCGCGUGGGUGAAGAAGCGCCUCGGCGCGUAAAGCCCUGUCAGCAGGGAAGAAAAUGACGGUACCUGAAGAAGAAGCCCCGGCUAACUACGUGCCAGCAGCCGCGGUAAUACGUAGGGGGCUAGCGUUAUCCGGAAUUACUGGGCGUAAAGGGAGCGUAGACGGUGAUGCAAGUCAGAAGUGAAAGCCCGGGGCUCAACUCCGGGACUGCUUUUGAAACUGUGUAACUGGAGUGCAGGAGAGGUAAGCGGAAUUCCUGGUGUAGCGGUGAAAUGCGUAGAUAUCAGGAGGAACACCAGUGGCGAAGGCGGCUUACUGGACUGUAACUGACGUUGAGGCUCGAAAGCGUGGGGAGCAAACAGGAUUAGAUACCCCAGUA